Molecule: ribosomal RNA, 253 nt
Filed under: uncultured bacterium
Lineage: Bacteria
Description: partial 16S ribosomal RNA
Rfam family: Bacterial small subunit ribosomal RNA
Source: RNAcentral
UACGUAGGUGGCAAGCGUUGUCCGGAUUUACUGGGUGUAAAGGGCGUGCAGCCGGAGAGACAAGUCAGAUGUGAAAUCCACGGGCUCAACCCGUGAACUGCAUUUGAAACUGUUUCCCUUGAGUGUCGGAGAGGUAAUCGGAGUUCCUUGUGUAGCGGUGAAAUGCGUAGAUAUAAGGAAGAACACCAGUGGCGAAGGCGGAUUACUGGACGAUAACUGACGGUGAGGCGCGAAAGCGUGGGGAGCAAACAGG